Molecule: non-coding RNA, 84 nt
Organism: Ustulina deusta
Lineage: Eukaryota; Fungi; Ascomycota; Sordariomycetes; Xylariales; Xylariaceae
Source: the annotation of a GenBank genome assembly
GUUCGGGUGGCCUAAUGGCAAGGCAUUGAUUUCCGGUCCAAAUGGAUAUGUCAAAGAUUGCGGGUUCGAGUCCCGUCCUGAACG